GGGUUGCUACGGUGGUGGGAUCCCCGACGAGACGCGCCGUACCGGGUUUCCGCAAAGACGACGCACC
RNAcentral lists this non-coding RNA (67 nucleotides) under Streptomyces sp. RNAcentral also lists the same sequence under 1 other name. Lineage: Bacteria; Bacillati; Actinomycetota; Actinomycetes; Kitasatosporales; Streptomycetaceae. The record is from RNAcentral.